Molecule: ribosomal RNA, 157 nt
Filed under: Perkinsus sp. QLD1_A4
Lineage: Eukaryota; Perkinsozoa; Perkinsida; Perkinsidae
Description: 5.8S ribosomal RNA
Rfam family: 5.8S ribosomal RNA
About the family: 5.8S ribosomal RNA (5.8S rRNA) is a component of the large subunit of the eukaryotic ribosome. It is transcribed by RNA polymerase I as part of the 45S precursor that also contains 18S and 28S rRNA.
Source: RNAcentral
CUCUCAACGAUGGAUGCCUCGGCUCGAGAAUCGAUGAAGGACGCAGCGAAGUGCGAUAAGCACUGCGAUUUGCAGAAUUCCGUGAACCAGUAGAAAUCCCAACGCAUACUGCACAAAGGGGAUUUAUCCUCUUUGUACAUACAUAUCAGUGUCGCUC